This 399-nucleotide ribosomal RNA is filed under the name uncultured bacterium. RNAcentral's name for it is "bacterial SSU rRNA". It matches the Rfam family "Bacterial small subunit ribosomal RNA", at positions 358 to 774 of the family's 1533-position model. The record is from RNAcentral.
GGAAUAUUGGGCAAUGGGCGAAAGCCUGACCCAGCAACGCCGCGUGAAGGAAGAAGGUUUUCGGAUCGUAAACUUCUGUCCUGUAAGAAGAUAGUGACGGUAUUAUAGGAGGAAGCCCCGGCUAACUACGUGCCAGCAGCCGCGGUAAUACGUAGGGGGCGAGCGUUGUCCGGAAUGAUUGGGCGUAAAGGGCGCGUAGGCGGCCUGUUAAGUCUGGAGUGAAAGUCCUGCUUUCAAGGUGGGAAUUGCUUUGGAUACUGAUAGGCUUGAGUGCAGGAGAGGUUAUCGGAAUUCCCGGUGUAGCGGUGAAAUGCGUAGAGAUCGGGAGGAACACCAGUGGCGAAGGCGGGUAACUGGACUGCAACUGACGCUGAGGCGCGAAAGUGUGGGGAGCAAACA